RNAcentral lists this ribosomal RNA (786 nucleotides) under uncultured bacterium. Its description in RNAcentral is "bacterial SSU rRNA". It matches the Rfam family "Bacterial small subunit ribosomal RNA", at positions 8 to 796 of the family's 1533-position model. The record is from RNAcentral.
AGAGUUUGAUCAUGGCUCAGGAUGAACGCUAGCUACAGGCUUAACACAUGCAAGUCGAACGGGGAAUGGUUUCGACCAUUCCGAGUGGCGCACGGGUGAGUAACACGUAUCCAACCUGCCCCUUACUCAUGGAUAGCCCUCUGAAAGGAGGAUUAAUACAUGAUGAAGUGUAUGAAUCACAUGGUUUAUAUAUUAAAGGUCAACGGUAAGGGAUGGGGAUGCGUUCCAUUAGACAGUCGGUGAGGUAACGGCCCACCGAAUCCACGAUGGAUAGGGGUUCUGAGAGGAAGGUCCCCCACAUUGGAACUGAGACACGGUCCAAACUCCUACGGGAGGCAGCAGUGAGGAAUAUUGGUCAAUGGUCGCGAGACUGAACCAGCCAAGUAGCGUGAGGGAUGACGGCCCUACGGGUUGUAAACCUCUUUUAUAUGAGAUUAAAGUGAUAUACGUGUAUAUCAUUGCAAGUAUCAUAGGAAUAAGCAUCGGCUAACUCCGUGCCAGCAGCCGCGGUAAUACGGAGGAUGCGAGCGUUAUCCGGAUUUAUUGGGUUUAAAGGGAGCGUAGGCUGUAUGGAAAGUCCGCUGUGAAAUUUCAAUGCUCAACAUUGUCCUUGCAGUAGAAACUGUCAUACUUGAGUGCGUAAGAGGUAGGCGGAAUUCGUCAUGUAGCGGUGAAAUGCAUAGAUAUGACGAAGAACCCCGAUUGCGAAAGCAGCUUACUAUACCGCAACUGACGCUGAAGCUCGAAGGUGCGGGUAUCGAACAGGAUUAGAUACCCUAGUAGUCC